Paramuricea clavata is the source of this 649-nucleotide non-coding RNA. Lineage: Eukaryota; Metazoa; Cnidaria; Anthozoa; Malacalcyonacea; Plexauridae. The record is from the annotation of a GenBank genome assembly.
AUUACACCUCCUCCCCAUUUAUUUGCUGCUGGCUACACCCCUUGGCCAGGAAAUAUUUUAAAUCACCAACAUUUUUGUGCGUUUCAAUAAAGGUAGAAAGUGUUUUUACUCAGUAAUAUGAAAGGGUAUUUACUACCCACGCAUGUGUGGGAUGAAGGAGUUUCCUGACGUGCAUAUAUGCACUUUUGAAGAAAUACGCCUUUGUCCAUAAAAACGCAUUGACUACAGUAGUCCAGGAAAUCUUUUAAAUCACUAUAAAUGUUUCUUAUGCGAUUCAAAGGUCGAUGCAUGUAAGGUUGAAAGUGUUCUCUAAUAUGAAAGAAUAUUUACUACCCACGCAUGUGUAGGAUGAAGGAAUUUCCUGACGUGCAUAUAUGCACUUUUGAAGAAAUACGCCUUUGUUAUGGUAAAUAUGUUAACUUACAACGGUUGUCCAUAAAAACGCCAUUGACUGCAGUAGUCCAGGAAAUCUUUUAAAUCACUAUAAAUGUUUUUUAUGCGAUUCAAAGGUCGAUCUUCAUCUAAGGUUGAAAGUGUUCUCUAAUAUGAAAGAAUAUUUACUUCCCACGUGCAAGUUGGAUUACGACGUAGACAGAGAAACGUGCAUAGUGCAUACACCCGCGUUUGAAGAACACACCCUUGGUUUUGG